GCAGAACGCGAAGAACCUUACCUAGGUUUGACAUAUACGAGAAGCCUCUAGAGAUAGAGGUCUCUUUGGACACUCGUAUACAGGUGGUGCAUGGCUGUCGUCAGCUCGUGUCGUGAGAUGUUGGGUUAAGUCCCGCAACGAGCGCAACCCUCGUCUUAUGUUGCCAGCACGUAAUGGUGGGGACUCAUAAGAGACUGCCGGGGUCAACUCGGAGGAAGGUGGGGAUGACGUCAAGUCAUCAUGCCCCUUAUGCCUAGGGCUUCACGCAUGCUACAAUGGCCGGUACAAAGGGCUGCGAUACCGCAAGGUGGAGCGAAUCCCAAAAAGCCGGUCUCAGUUCGGAUUGGGGUCUGCAACUCGACCCCAUGAAGUCGGAGUCGCUAGUAAUCGCAGAUCAGCAACGCUGCGGUGAAUACGUUCCCGGGUCUUGUACACACCG
RNAcentral lists this ribosomal RNA (439 nucleotides) under uncultured bacterium. RNAcentral describes it as "bacterial SSU rRNA". It matches the Rfam family "Bacterial small subunit ribosomal RNA", at positions 954 to 1392 of the family's 1533-position model. The record is from RNAcentral.